Long non-coding RNA from Canis lupus familiaris (dog), 1322 nucleotides. RefSeq lists it as uncharacterized. Lineage: Eukaryota; Metazoa; Chordata; Mammalia; Carnivora; Canidae. The transcript is spliced from 8 exons. The record is from RefSeq and is a predicted model, not a curated record.
CUCUGAGAUUCUACUACCUUUGCUCCAAGUUCUGUGACACCCCAGUGGGAUGGAAGGUAAAGAACUGUGUGCUGUUGAAGACUGUUUUCUCCAACUCCUUCAAAAUGUCCAUGAUCAUCAAGAGGCUGGGGAGAGGAGUGUGGAUUCAGGAACCUGAGGUAUCCAACACCCACGUUCUGGGUUUCUACAUUGAUGUGAGAUAAAAAAAGCAUCAAGAAGGUAAAUGAAAUGGGCAGAAAGAGUAAGAAAAAUUGGAAACACUUAACUGUGGUUAGCUUGGUCUGCCUGGAGAUAACAGAGUGUAUGGCUUACAGUGAUAACUGCGCUGAUAGAGACCCCAAGAAGAUUGAGCAGUGAUUUAAACAUCUUUUAUUGAGGGAACCUUGACCUAACCAAGCUACGACCUCUUUCUUCAUAACAAAAUAAUUACCUCCAUGUGUAUUAAAGUAUACAAAUUAUGUACUGAAAGAGGAUGGAGGCUAUUCCUAUCAACAAAUCAAAUUACCGAGUGAAAGACAGAGAUCCAAGAGUCUGAAUUCUGAAGCCAGGCUGUCUGGGUGUAAAUCUCAGCUCCGUGCCUCCCAAGUCAUUCAUCUCUGGACAAGCUGCAUAACUCUCAUUGCUUCCUUUCCCCACUUGGAAAAUGGAGAUGAUAAUCUCCUCGUACCUGGUACCACCACUCCACUCUGAAUCUAUGAAUUUGACUAAUUGGCAUACCUCAUGUAAGUGGAAUCCUGCAGGAUUUGUCUUUCUGCGGCUAACUGAACUCGGGAUAAGGUCUAGGGUUCUGUCAUGCUGUCCCAUAUUGGAAAAUUUUCUUCUUUUUUAAGGAUCAAUGGUCAGAAGGAUUCCAGGCUUAGCAAAGAAGCAAAUAAUGAGAGAAAAAAUCAAGGAGAGCAGGGUUGGAGUUAAUUCAUCUUUGUUACAAAUCUUCAUCGCAAAAAUAUUGGCAGCACCAGCCGUGAGAUUCUAGCUAAGGAUGAAAGGAAGAAACUCCUAUUGUCGUUCUCCUGGGGAAAUAAGGACUAAAAAUGAAUUGGACUGGGGAAAAAAAUACCAAGUAGAACAUUCUCAUCUGACUGAUCAGAUUUCUUCAUAAAGCAGCAUAUCUAAGAGUUUCAACUUGCUCCUGGAGAGAAUUGGAAACAUGGAGAGAUGCAAAUUAUAGGUGCAGUAAGAAGGAAAGUAAAUCCAGCAAAACACUUUCAUUCCUUUUAUUUUAGUGAAAUAUUUCUACCUUUUGAGAGAAAAUGAGUGAAAAUAUCAGUGAGGGUGACAAAACAUGAGAGACACCUAACUCUGGGAAACAAACAAGGGGUAGU